Molecule: ribosomal RNA, 252 nt
Filed under: uncultured bacterium
Lineage: Bacteria
Description: partial 16S ribosomal RNA
Rfam family: Bacterial small subunit ribosomal RNA
Source: RNAcentral
UACGUAGGGCGCAAGCGUUGUCCGGAAUUAUUGGGCGUAAAGAGCUCGUAGGCGGCUUGUCGCGUCGGACGUGAAAGCUCAGGGCUUAACCCUGAGUCUGCGUUCGAUACGGGCAGGCUAGAGGCAGGUAGGGGAGAACGGAAUUCCCGGUGUAGCGGUGAAAUGCGCAGAUAUCGGGAGGAACACCGGUGGCGAAGGCGGUUCUCUGGCCUGUACUGACGCUGAGGAGCGAAAGCGUGGGGAGCGAACAGG